RNAcentral lists this ribosomal RNA (253 nucleotides) under uncultured bacterium. RNAcentral describes it as "partial 16S ribosomal RNA". It matches the Rfam family "Bacterial small subunit ribosomal RNA", at positions 524 to 776 of the family's 1533-position model. The record is from RNAcentral.
UACAGAGGGGGCAAGCGUUGUUCGGAAUUACUGGGCGGAAAGGGCGCGUAGGCGGCCUGCUAAGUCGAACGUGAAAUCCCUGGGCUCAACCCAGGAACUGCGUCCGAUACUGGUUGGCUUGAAUCCGGGAGAGGGACGUGGAAUUCCAGGUGUAGCGGUGAAAUGCGUAGAUAUCUGGAGGAACACCGGUGGCGAAGGCGACGUCCUGGACCGGCAUUGACGCUGAGGCGCGAAAGCCAGGGGAGCAAACGGG